GGACCCGCACAAGCAGCGGAGCAUGUGGUUUAAUUCGAAGCAACGCGAAGAACCUUACCAGGACUUGACAUCCUUCUGACAGGCAUUUAACAGUGCUUUUCCUUCGGGACAGAAGUGACAGGUGGUGCAUGGUUGUCGUCAGCUCGUGUCGUGAGAUGUUGGGUUAAGUCCCGCAACGAGCGCAACCCUUGUCAUUAGUUGCCAUCAGGUUAAGCUGGGCACUCUAAUGAGACUGCCGGGGAUAACUCGGAGGAAGGUGGGGAUGACGUCAAAUCAUCAUGCCCCUUAUGUUCUGGGCUACACACGUGCUACAAUGGCCGGUACAAAGAGAAGCAAUAUCGCGAGGUGGAGCAAAUCAGGAAAACCGGUCCCAGUUCGGAUUGUAGGCUGAAACUCGCCUGCAUGAAGUCGGAGUUGCUAGUAAUCGUGAAUCAGAAUGUCA
RNAcentral lists this ribosomal RNA (442 nucleotides) under uncultured Bacillota bacterium. RNAcentral describes it as "bacterial SSU rRNA". It matches the Rfam family "Bacterial small subunit ribosomal RNA", at positions 917 to 1359 of the family's 1533-position model. Lineage: Bacteria; Bacillati; Bacillota. The record is from RNAcentral.